AUGUUUGCCUUUCCAUAUUGGUGUGCAGUUAUUCGCAUUGAGGCUAAAAGCGAGCAGUUGGAAAUGUACAUGCAAUUAGAUGUCGCUACUGAUGUCUACCCAAUGCAUGUUGGUGACAAGUUCACCAUGGUUUUAGCUCCUACACUGAAUCUGGAUGGGACUCCAGACACUGGCUUCUAUACACAGGCUGGUAGGAAAACACUUGCUGACAAGUAUGACUAUGUUAUGCAUGGAAAGCUUUACAAGAUUUCAGAGGACAUUUCCAGUGAAAAAGAAGCUACUAAAGUGUAUGACUUCUCUGAACUCUAG
RNAcentral lists this ribosomal RNA (309 nucleotides) under Triticum aestivum (bread wheat). RNAcentral describes it as "partial small subunit ribosomal RNA". The record is from RNAcentral. Lineage: Eukaryota; Viridiplantae; Streptophyta; Magnoliopsida; Poales; Poaceae.